Molecule: ribosomal RNA, 468 nt
Filed under: uncultured bacterium
Lineage: Bacteria
Description: partial 16S ribosomal RNA
Rfam family: Bacterial small subunit ribosomal RNA
Source: RNAcentral
GACGAACGCUGGCGGCGUGCUUAACACAUGCAAGUCGAACGGAAAGGCUCCAGCUUGCUGGAGUACUCGAGUGGCGAACGGGUGAGUAACACGUGGGUGAUCUGCCCUGCACUUCGGGAUAAGCCUGGGAAACUGGGUCUAAUACCGGAUAGGACCGCACUUUGGUGUGUGUGGUGGAAAGGUUUUUCUGGUGUGGGAUGAGCUCGCGGCCUAUCAGUUUGUUGAUGGGGUAAUGGCCUACCAAGACGGCGACGGGUAGCCGGCCUGAGAGGGUGGACGGUCACAUUGGGACUGAGAUACGGCCCAGACUCCUACGGGAGGCAGCAGUGGGGAAUAUUGCACAAUGGGGGAAACCCUGAUGCAGCGACGCCGCGUGGGGGAUGAAGGCCUUCGGGUUGUAAACUCCUUUCGCUAGGGACGAAGCUUUUUGUGACGGUACCUGGAGAAGAAGCACCGGCUAACUACGUG